GCUGCCUUACCAGCUCUGACUUUGUUAUGAGAAAAAUUAAUUUCUUUUUUUUUAAGGGUGAAUUGACUUCUUUUUAAAAAAAUUUUAUUUAAUUUUGGCUGCACUGGGUCUUCGUUGCUGCACGUGGGCUUUUUAGCUGUGACCCCUAGGUUGGAUGCCAGUUUUAUGCAGAAAGAGAAGACCAGCAAUGCAACAGACACGUGGCGAUACCCAAAGAGGGACCCCUGCGCUAUGCCGGUGGAGAUGGAGAAGAGAGACAGACCUUGGUGGCCUCCGGUGGGCAGAGGAUAUGCCCAGGGGAUCUUCUCAUCCCAGGGAUUGAACCCGAAUCUCCUAUGCCUCCUGCAUUGGCCCCCGGAUUGUUUAUCAUUGAGCCACCUGGGAAGGCCCUAAUGAUUAGUACCAAAUAACAAAUAAAAAGUAUGUCCUGUGGUUCUCUGUGUUGGUAUCAGUUUGGAAAUGAGAACAUUUAUUUUUAAACCAGUGAACAGAUUUGGAUGAAACACUCACAAUUAUUCAGCCUACUUUCCCAGUAGGAAUGAAGGUUCACUGAAAUUUCAU
Molecule: long non-coding RNA, 561 nt
Organism: Bos taurus (domestic cattle)
Lineage: Eukaryota; Metazoa; Chordata; Mammalia; Artiodactyla; Bovidae
Source: Ensembl